RNAcentral lists this ribosomal RNA (205 nucleotides) under uncultured bacterium. RNAcentral describes it as "partial 16S ribosomal RNA". It matches the Rfam family "Bacterial small subunit ribosomal RNA", at positions 568 to 773 of the family's 1533-position model. The record is from RNAcentral.
AGCGCAGGCGGGAAGGUAAGUCUAUCUUAAAAGUGCGGGGCUCAACCCCGUGAGGGGAUAGAAACUAUCAUUCUUGAGUGCAGGAGAGGAAAGCGGAAUUCCUAGUGUAGCGGUGAAAUGCGUAGAUAUUAGGAGGAACACCAGUGGCGAAGGCGGCUUUCUGGACUGUAACUGACGCUGAGGCUCGAAAGCCAGGGGAGCAACG